This 25-nucleotide non-coding RNA is filed under the name Rattus norvegicus (Norway rat). Lineage: Eukaryota; Metazoa; Chordata; Mammalia; Rodentia; Muridae. The record is from RNAcentral.
UAAAUUUGUACUGCUGUAACUUUUA